Molecule: ribosomal RNA, 468 nt
Filed under: uncultured bacterium
Lineage: Bacteria
Description: partial 16S ribosomal RNA
Rfam family: Bacterial small subunit ribosomal RNA
Source: RNAcentral
GGCGAACGCUGGCGGCGUGCUUAACACAUGCAAGUCGAACGGAAAGGCCCUGCUUUUGUGGGGUGCUCGAGUGGCGAACGGGUGAGUAACACGUGAGUAACCUGCCCUUGACUUUGGGAUAACUUCAGGAAACUGGGGCUAAUACCGGAUAGGAGCUCCUGCUGCAUGGUGGGGGUUGGAAAGUUUCGGCGGUUGGGGAUGGACUCGCGGCUUAUCAGCUUGUUGGUGGGGUAGUGGCUUACCAAGGCUUUGACAGGUAGCCGGCCUGCGAGGGUGACCGGACACAUUGGGACUGAGAUACGGCCCAGACUCCUACGGGAGGCAGCAGUGGGGAAUAUUGCACAAUGGGAGGAAGCCUGAUGUAGCAACGCCGCGUGCGGGAUGACGGCAUUCGGGUUGUAAACCGCUUUCGCCUGUGACGAAGCGUGAGUGACGGUAAUGGGUAAAGAAGCACCGGCUAACUACGUG